Molecule: long non-coding RNA, 10557 nt
Filed under: Lupinus angustifolius (narrow-leaved blue lupine)
Lineage: Eukaryota; Viridiplantae; Streptophyta; Magnoliopsida; Fabales; Fabaceae
Description: long non-coding RNA (LANG_LNC000189)
Source: RNAcentral
UCUACCUCUUCAGAUCUUGACUUUCCACUUUUAUCAAGAAUACCAAAAGAUGAAUCAAGGGAAACUUGCAGAAGGUCAUUAGCUCCACUAUUGAAAACACCAAUAACAGUUCCCACAAAUUCUCCACUUUCCUGAUAGGAAAAGGUGUUGUAGGUAAACAAAUUCAGUUUAAGGAUUUAAAAACAAUAAGGCAAUACAAUACCAAAGAAGAAGAAUUCAAAGUUGCAUAAAUCUAUAUAAACUGGGUACUUCAAAAAAUGGUGAUGUAUGUCUUGGAUAUGCAUGGGUAUGUACCGAAUAUGUAAGAAUUAUAUCAAAUUGUUUUUUUAUUUGUUACACGGAUUGGGUACGGCAGGGUACUCCUAUGGUGCUGACUGAGUGACCAUUGCAAAACUGUGUCAUUUUGGGCUAGAAAUCUCAGUUGGUAAUGAGUCUUAACUUCUCAUCCUACGACACUCGCAUCCUCAGGCAGUGUCGGUGACGACCCUCUUACCUUUUUUAUAUACUUAUAUAAGUAUAUAUACAUAAAAAUUUUAUAUUGACAUACCCAUAUCUUUGAUUUUCUAAAAUGUAUCUCUUACAUGUAUCAUACCCAUACCACGCAACAUAUUAUAACAUUAUCUUUAGGUUAUUGAUAAUAGUUUGUUUGCAUUUGAAUCACUAUACUAGCACUUUGCAUUUCAUUUGCUGAGUCAUUUGCUGUUUCACAAAGAAAUAGCUGUCAGUAGGAUAUAUGUAUGCAAAGAAAAGAGCUCCACCAAAAAAAACAAAUCUGUGAAAGGCUAUAUUUUAACAUGGCAAAAAAGCUGUCAUUUCUGUAAUAGCUCAUCAAUGAGGAUCACCAAGUUAAUUUUAUAGACCUAAAAAAUAUAACAUAAAGUUAAAUGGAUAGGAAAGGAAAAUCUUUGGUUCCAUUAAAUGGCAAUAUUUCAAAAAAUUGAAUAAAAAAUAAUGAAUAAGGAGAGGAAAAAUGGUUCAUAGGAACCUUGAGAAAAACUUUCAUCCCAACAAGAUCAUGUGUGUAAAAUUCACCCUCUUCUAACUCUGGUCUUUCAUCCUCGGUGACAAGCAAGGUAGAGCCAGUAAGCAUCUUAGCCUGCAUGAUACGAGUAAAUGAAUGUGUUUGGAUUAGCAACAGAAAAUAGAUUAUUUCAGUGAUAGAUUGUUAUCAUGAUCUAUUGUAAAAGAAUUGUUUUCCUGUUAAGAUAUGCUUGAUGAAAAAGAGUUUUUAUGAUAAUCUAUUUUGUUUUGACCGUUCGAAAAAAUCACAUUUAUGUAGUAAAUUACAAAAAAUGACAGUUAUUUCUUUAGAUUAAUAAUGUUUGUUCGGCAAUUAGUUCAUUUUUUCAAAUAAGUUUCAGCCUCUAGUUUCCCUAAAACAAAUUUUCUCCCUGAAAACCUCUUUUUCAUACUUUCAUCAAGUUUAUUAAACCACACCUGAAAGUAGGGCAUGUUCACAUCCAAAUCGUUCCAAAAUAAAACUGUAAACCAAUUCAAAAAACUACAAACCAAUAAAAAAAAUAUUUUAGAUUGGUUUUGCAAAGAACAGGCCAGGUCAGAUCAGAUCAGAUUUUGGAUUCAUGUAUAAAACUCGAUCAAAUUGUGCAUCUUACAUAUUUUAUAUAUUAAUUAAUCUAAAAUUGUAUAUUUACUUUAAGUUGUGAUAUUUGAUGUAUACCUUUGAUUGAAUUAUUUUUUGUAUUACUUUCAUUUGGAUACAUUAUCUCAAUAAUCAAACAAUUAACCAUAAUAUUUUAUUUUACUAUUUAAAAUAAAAAUCAAUACAUACACUUAUAAAAUUAAAGUUGUAUUUGGAUAAAAACGUAAAUAAUCAAAAAUAAAAAGCCAAAUCACAACCGCUCGUAAUUUUUAGUUCAUACCAAAUUUGAUGCUUAAAUCAACCGACUCGAACCACAUGUGAUAUUUAUGUUCCAAUAAGAUGACUUUUUACCCCAAAACCAAUCCAAAUCAACCCACAAACACCCUUACUUGAAAGGAAAAAGCAGUUUAUGUUCACACAAGAGUGAAUGGAGAUUGAUGACAAGAGAGGAUGACCUCUCAGUUUCAAUUCAGAUGUUGGUAUAUGUUUGUAACCUAUCUUUCAUAAGGUCCAAGGAUUUACAUCUACCAAUAGAGGAAGUUAUGUGACAUGGGAAGUUCAGGUUUUUAUGGGGAAGACGACGAGGAGUAGUAGGGUGUAGAUCAUGGUUCACUUGAUGACUCGGCCAACCUACGUGAGAUAGACCUUGAUUUGUUCGGGCAUGGUUAUAAUAUUGGGAGUCAAAUUGUGAACCAGAAAGCCUAAUUUCCAAAUAGUGAAUGGUAAUAUUUCUUUAUUACUAGACAAAACAUGUUAUUUCGAAAUAGUUAUAACAUACAUUUAUGCAUGAUUAUCUAUACUCUAGACCUCGGCUAGAGUAUACAUACAUUUGUCUUCCUCUUGCCCCUACACAAACCACUUCUAAUUUAUAUACAUAAAUACAAUGACUACCCCUACAAGAGUAAUAAGUUACUUCAGCAGUUAAUCAACCAGUUAAAGAACUAAAAAACCAAACAAAAAUUUCAUUGUCUGCCUUGCUUAUAGGAUUAUGUGUUAGCUAACGACAUCUAUACUGGGUAUCAAUGUUUAACGGAAAAUGAAAAGAAAAAAGAAUCUGACCUCAACGUACUCAACUCCGAGGUUAAUAAGAUUAUCGGCAAUGCUAUGCUUUGAAAACAAGCUAAUAAACCCUCCAGAUCCAACAGGAGUUUGGAGUAUUUCCCAAGGUGACUUCAUUAGAAUCUUAUAUUUGUUUUGUCCUUCAGGCAAACUGCUAACAACCGGAAGCUUCUCUUCCUCCAAAAACCAUAUCUGCAAGAGGGUUAAAAUAUUAAGAUUGUGAUCACACUAGAAGCCAAUUAUAUAAGCACGAGGUUGAGAAGAGAUUGUCACUAGAUUUCCAUUUAAAAGUUAAAAUGAAGACUAUAUUAUUUCUUGUACAAAUUGACCAUUGAUGUUUUGCAUAUGACCACCACUUCACUUAUCCAGUGUAGUAGUAUUAUUUAUAGCAUGCAUAACCACAUCCUAAAAGGAAACUAGUAUUAGUUAAAUGUUACUGCAAUAUUGAUAUUUUCAGUUUCCAAGCAAUGAACAGGCAAUGUUCCAUAUUUUACGAGUCCCGAAACUAAACCACUACAGGUGAAGUAGAAUUUCAAAAUGGAAGGUAAUGUGGAUUGUAGAAAUCAAAAAAUACGAUGAACAGUAAGAAUAUUUAAGUUGGACCACAAUACAGAGAUAUUGACAAACUUUAGUACAUAUUUGACCAAGAUAAUAGAAAACAAAAAAGGGAGAUCUUCGGCAUGAUGUGAACCUUUUCAGAGUCAAAUGCAAAGUGAUUGUUGUUGGUAAACAGCUUUCUUAAAGACUCAAUUUGUUGGGCUGACGAAACCAAAAUUAAAGGCACAACCUCGCGAUCUUUAUCCUGCAAAAAAUGCAAAUUCAUUAGAUGAUGAGAAUUUAUUUAAUACAGUCAUUUCAAAAAGUCACUUAGAUGAUACCUUAAAAAUCAGCUUAUAUCAUCUUUUUUCCAGCAUGAUUCAUAACAAACAUCACAUUGGAAAUGAAAUGGACAACAUUAAAAUGCUAGUUUUUCUGUUCUCUUUGAAUAUUUGUUGAAGAGGUGUUCUGUUGAAAUUCAAUUAUGACAAUAAAUUGAUUUUCACAAUAGUUAAUCUUUAUCAGGAGCAUAUUUACCGACAAUAAAAAAAUUAAAAACACAAGUUUACAACCUUUACAAAAUUUCCAUCAUCAGAGAGUAACUUUUGAAGUGGGAGAAGUAAAGUGUCUGUCGCUUCAUUCUCAACUAUGUCAGGGUCACAAAUGAACCCCUGAUUCUCUUUUUCAUUCAAAAGCAGGACUAUAGCCAUUUUCCCCUCAGACAUGAGCUUGAGUCCCUUGUCUUGCAAAAUGUUAUCUCCAUUUCCAUGUAAGGAAGAUUUGGAUGAUAUUUGCAAACUAUUAAUAAGCUUUGCUUCUGAAGCACUGAUCACCUCGGCUGCAUUCCAUCUGAAUUUAAGGAAGUUAAAACACAAAUGAACAUUCCAACAAAUGUAAUAAAAAAGGGCCGAGAAAUUGUGACAUAACAAGCCACAAAAAUCAAUGAUCGUAUGGUCAAGUUCAUAAAAAAUGAACAAUUAAAUCAGAAAACACUAAUAUUUUUAUAAUUUAGUUUAUCUAAGAAUGAGUAGUCAUUUCUAAAACCUAGUAUUGGAUCAUACUGAUAACAGAAAUAGUUUCUCUCUUUCUUUUUGUCGGGGUGGGGGAUGAAGGUGUUGAAGCUUAAAAUAACUAUGGUUUACAAUAACUUGCCUCUUGGUAGGUUGUUGAAGACCUUGUAAUGCCUCCUGAAGCAAUUUGGUGUUUACACCAACAAUCUGAUCACUAAGCAAGCUCCUCUGUUCCUUCUCUCCAUAUCGAAGUCCAUGAAAUACAUGUUGCUGCUCUAUUUCAACGAGUUUCUUUUUCGCUGCUAUGAGGCGCUUUUGAAACUUUUUCCUUUCUUUCCAUUCCUGAAAUAUACCAAAAAAAUGAAUUAUCCAUAUCAUUUCUUGGUAGGUGGUAUCAAUUGCUACCCAGUCAUUAUGAUAGGAAAAUUAACCCAUAAAACACAAUUUAAAAUUCAAAUGAUACAAGUUCAACUAUUGAGAGGCAUAGCAGAAUGCCACAUUAUGAAAAUCUAAUUUCACUAAGGUUGACAAUAAUGCAAAUCUGUUAGCUGGGUUAUCAUACAAAUUAAUAAAAACCGCAUCCAAUUAAUACAUAAUUGUGGCUUACUCUGAAGGCAAAAUAGCCAAGGUAAAACAUAUAUAAUUGAAACGAAUGUUUAAUCACAAAAUUGCCUUGAAAAGGGAGAGACUAAGAAGGUAAUAUAACAUCAGCAGUAAGCACAAAAACAACAACAAAACAUUGAACCUGUUCAAAAAGUAUAGGAGAGUAUGCAUCAAUGUUUUGUUCAAAAAAUUCCAAAAAGUAACAACUUGGUGAUAAAGUAUAGGGCAGUAUGCCUCACAAGUUGGCGCCUUUCUUUUUUGGACCUCUCAUCAUAUCGUAAGUUUAAUUCCAGUAGCCCCUUGGGUGGUGUGAUAUGCAUUUCUCUUCUUUUUGUAUCAACAUCCGGAACAAUUGCUUCCACAAAAGGCACCAAAACAAGCUGACCAGAUGCUUCUACCUCUUCAGAUCUUGACUUUCCACUUUUAUCAAGAAUACCAAAAGAUGAAUCAAGGGAAACUUGCAGAAGGUCAUUAGCUCCACUAUUGAAAACACCAAUAACAGUUCCCACAAAUUCUCCACUUUCCUGAUAGGAAAAGGUGUUGUAGGUAAACAAAUUCAGUUUAAGGAUUUAAAAACAAUAAGGCAAUACAAUACCAAAGAAGAAGAAUUCAAAGUUGCAUAAAUCUAUAUAAACUGGGUACUUCAAAAAAUGGUGAUGUAUGUCUUGGAUAUGCAUGGGUAUGUACCGAAUAUGUAAGAAUUAUAUCAAAUUGUUUUUUUAUUUGUUACACGGAUUGGGUACGGCAGGGUACUCCUAUGGUGCUGACUGAGUGACCAUUGCAAAACUGUGUCAUUUUGGGCUAGAAAUCUCAGUUGGUAAUGAGUCUUAACUUCUCAUCCUACGACACUCGCAUCCUCAGGCAGUGUCGGUGACGACCCUCUUACCUUUUUUAUAUACUUAUAUAAGUAUAUAUACAUAAAAAUUUUAUAUUGACAUACCCAUAUCUUUGAUUUUCUAAAAUGUAUCUCUUACAUGUAUCAUACCCAUACCACGCAACAUAUUAUAACAUUAUCUUUAGGUUAUUGAUAAUAGUUUGUUUGCAUUUGAAUCACUAUACUAGCACUUUGCAUUUCAUUUGCUGAGUCAUUUGCUGUUUCACAAAGAAAUAGCUGUCAGUAGGAUAUAUGUAUGCAAAGAAAAGAGCUCCACCAAAAAAAACAAAUCUGUGAAAGGCUAUAUUUUAACAUGGCAAAAAAGCUGUCAUUUCUGUAAUAGCUCAUCAAUGAGGAUCACCAAGUUAAUUUUAUAGACCUAAAAAAUAUAACAUAAAGUUAAAUGGAUAGGAAAGGAAAAUCUUUGGUUCCAUUAAAUGGCAAUAUUUCAAAAAAUUGAAUAAAAAAUAAUGAAUAAGGAGAGGAAAAAUGGUUCAUAGGAACCUUGAGAAAAACUUUCAUCCCAACAAGAUCAUGUGUGUAAAAUUCACCCUCUUCUAACUCUGGUCUUUCAUCCUCGGUGACAAGCAAGGUAGAGCCAGUAAGCAUCUUAGCCUGCAUGAUACGAGUAAAUGAAUGUGUUUGGAUUAGCAACAGAAAAUAGAUUAUUUCAGUGAUAGAUUGUUAUCAUGAUCUAUUGUAAAAGAAUUGUUUUCCUGUUAAGAUAUGCUUGAUGAAAAAGAGUUUUUAUGAUAAUCUAUUUUGUUUUGACCGUUCGAAAAAAUCACAUUUAUGUAGUAAAUUACAAAAAAUGACAGUUAUUUCUUUAGAUUAAUAAUGUUUGUUCGGCAAUUAGUUCAUUUUUUCAAAUAAGUUUCAGCCUCUAGUUUCCCUAAAACAAAUUUUCUCCCUGAAAACCUCUUUUUCAUACUUUCAUCAAGUUUAUUAAACCACACCUGAAAGUAGGGCAUGUUCACAUCCAAAUCGUUCCAAAAUAAAACUGUAAACCAAUUCAAAAAACUACAAACCAAUAAAAAAAAUAUUUUAGAUUGGUUUUGCAAAGAACAGGCCAGGUCAGAUCAGAUCAGAUUUUGGAUUCAUGUAUAAAACUCGAUCAAAUUGUGCAUCUUACAUAUUUUAUAUAUUAAUUAAUCUAAAAUUGUAUAUUUACUUUAAGUUGUGAUAUUUGAUGUAUACCUUUGAUUGAAUUAUUUUUUGUAUUACUUUCAUUUGGAUACAUUAUCUCAAUAAUCAAACAAUUAACCAUAAUAUUUUAUUUUACUAUUUAAAAUAAAAAUCAAUACAUACACUUAUAAAAUUAAAGUUGUAUUUGGAUAAAAACGUAAAUAAUCAAAAAUAAAAAGCCAAAUCACAACCGCUCGUAAUUUUUAGUUCAUACCAAAUUUGAUGCUUAAAUCAACCGACUCGAACCACAUGUGAUAUUUAUGUUCCAAUAAGAUGACUUUUUACCCCAAAACCAAUCCAAAUCAACCCACAAACACCCUUACUUGAAAGGAAAAAGCAGUUUAUGUUCACACAAGAGUGAAUGGAGAUUGAUGACAAGAGAGGAUGACCUCUCAGUUUCAAUUCAGAUGUUGGUAUAUGUUUGUAACCUAUCUUUCAUAAGGUCCAAGGAUUUACAUCUACCAAUAGAGGAAGUUAUGUGACAUGGGAAGUUCAGGUUUUUAUGGGGAAGACGACGAGGAGUAGUAGGGUGUAGAUCAUGGUUCACUUGAUGACUCGGCCAACCUACGUGAGAUAGACCUUGAUUUGUUCGGGCAUGGUUAUAAUAUUGGGAGUCAAAUUGUGAACCAGAAAGCCUAAUUUCCAAAUAGUGAAUGGUAAUAUUUCUUUAUUACUAGACAAAACAUGUUAUUUCGAAAUAGUUAUAACAUACAUUUAUGCAUGAUUAUCUAUACUCUAGACCUCGGCUAGAGUAUACAUACAUUUGUCUUCCUCUUGCCCCUACACAAACCACUUCUAAUUUAUAUACAUAAAUACAAUGACUACCCCUACAAGAGUAAUAAGUUUAAUCUUUUAAACAAAAAAUGUGAUAAAUAUAAUUAAGUUAAACAAAAUAUGGUAUACUGUGAAGAUAAGUUCAAAUAGCAUAAGUAAUGAUGUAUUUUGUCAAUAUCUCCUUAGAAGUAUUGAUGUAUUUUGUAACCAAUCAAAAAUAAUGAAGAUAUAUCAACUCUUACACUAUUUGGACUUGUCUCCACAAUAUACUAUAUUUUAUUUAACUUAAUUAUAAUCAUCACGCUUUUUAUAUAGAUUACACUUAUAUCUCCUGCAUGGUUAGUCAGUGUAAUGUAUGUAUAUGAAUAAGGGUGGUUUGUGUAGGUACAAAAUAGAGAUAAGUCAUUUGUGUAAUUUUACUAAAACUCAGGAGAUGUCAGUAUAACUUACUCAUGUAUUUAUUAUUAAGAUUAUUUCAUAAUUUUUUUUCUCAAAAUUAAUUAUUAUUUAUUUCAGUCAACAUUUACUAGAAUCUAAUAGUAAGUCUUUUCCCAUAAUUUUGUUUAUCAACAUUGUUUACUAUUUAUUAUUGACUUUAACAUCAAUACAUUGUUCGUAUAAAGGUUUUUACAUUAUCCAUCAAUUAUGUGUAUUACUUUUAUUUAAAAUCAUAAAAUGUCAGUUGGACUAUUUUCUCUAUUGUUUAAUUAGAAAUGAGUUAGAAAACCUACAUGUUUUCCAGCCACCCAUUUGUUUAAAUUUGUCGCCCAUUGUUUUUUCAUUUUUUUUAUCAGCCCGCCCACUGUUUUUUCAUCUAACUCUUACCAUCUCAGGUCUAUAAAUAUGAGUUUGUUUCAUCUCCCAUCAACCCCAACACCUUCAUCCUCUCCUAUGACAGGCCAGCCUACCAACGGAGCCUCAUUGCCAGAGUAUCCAGGCGUUCACAGGCUGAACACCGGUGAGAUCCUGGCUACAACCACCUACUUCAGGAAGUUGUCUUCUAAGACCGCAGGUCAUGCUCGAAUCGAAAAAACACCCAGAACCUUGACCUAUAUAAUUCGCCUAUGAUUCAACAAUUCUGACCCAUAAUCAAUACAAACACAGAUUUGUAUAUUUAGGGUUCAUAAUUGUUUCGAAACACAAUUUGAAUCGUGCAAUUCAUACAAUCCUAACUACAAUGGGUUCAAGGACUACAAGCUUAGCAUAUAUGAAGGUCGACCCAAAGAGCCGGUGUGCGUGUUUCACCUCAACUUGAUAGUACACCAGCUUAAGCUUGUGUUAACUCGGCAAUGGUACCUCAACCUGAUAGGUACACCCCUGUUUGAGGAAGAUACAAACUCAUAGAACUGGAAUGCAAAAACAAGACCAAAUUAACCAAGGAUGAAACAUAACCCAACAAAGGUUAGAAAAAAUAAUGGCAUUCCAUACUGGAUAAACAAAUAAAGGGGGCUGGAAAAUAUAUAAAGAGAAGUGAAAUGGAAGUGCUCACAUCUAUGCAAGCAUUGAUUAUUAUAUAUAUGACCUUAUACAAAUCAUUGCAAAGUGGGGAAGUCAAGUAUUCUUCAUCCUGUGAGAACCUCUCUCCUUUAAAGUUCAUAACAUCCAUCUCUUUCUUCUUGUUCUCUUUGUUACCAGUCCUCGCAUCAUUCUUCUUGUUUUCUUUGUUAUUAUCAAUCUUCUCACCAUUCUUCUUUUUGAUCGGUAUCAACCCACAGUCUGAGAAACACUCGGUGCAAGUGGUUGUAAUGAAGUAUUACUUGUAUUGAGGGUUGAUGACAAUUAAAAGGAAGAUGAUGAGAGGGUUGAAGAAAACAAAGAAAGUAAGAUUGGUGAAAGGGCUAAUAAUAAAGAGAACAUGGAGAAAAAGAGGGAGGUAAUGAAUCGUGUAAAGGAAAGAGGUUGUCCAAGGUAAAGAAUACUUCAUUUGUCCAUUUUCCAAUGAUUUGUAUGAGCACUUCCAUCUUAAUUUCCUUCAUAUCUUUUCCAACCCCUUUAUUUGUUUUUCCUCUGUCUAAUUUCAUUAUUUUUUCUGCAUUUUUGUGUUCUUAUUCAUCCUGUUUAAUUUGUUCCAAAUUUUUCUGUUCUAGCUCCAUAUGAGUUUGAUCUUCCUCCACCAAGGUGUACUUCCCCAAGUUGAGGUACCCCUUUCCAAGUUAACUCAACCUUACAUGGGUGUACCAUUGGGGCGAGCUGAAACCCGAACAUCAAUUCUUUAGCCCUACCUUCAGUCCCACUAAGCUUAUACUCCCUGAAUCGACCAAGGUCUACCUCACAUAGAUUGGCCGAGUUAUCAAUUGAACCAUGAACUAAACCCCAACACUCCUCGACAUCCUCCUCACCAAAACCCCAAUUUCUCACUCCAUUGGUCCCUAUAUAUAUAUGUAAUAUGGGAAUCGUUGGACCUUAAGCAAGACAGGUUACAAACAUAUACAACAUCUCGAAACCGAUCCUAAGAGGCCAACCUCUCUAGUCAUUUGUCUACUUUUGCAUGAACAGUUUCUAUACAGAUAUCGUCCGAAUCAAACAAGCUUAAUGCCGAAAAAAUACACAUCAUGGUAUAUUAAAUCUCAGUAAUGGUAGUGUAUUUUUUGCAUACCUGGUCCACAGUGUCAAUUCCUUUGAAUUUGAGUAUCCAACUAUUAUGUGCAGGAUGAUUUCUACCUUGCUCCAGCUCAACCUCCUGAAUGGUUUCUUCACCCAAAACAUUCUGCCUCAGCCACCUAGUCCCAGGCUAGUAGUACAUACAAUAAUCAUUCAUUAAUCAAUCUUUGGGAAACAAUAUAUUAAAAAAAUAAUGACUCAAUACACGAGUCUCCCAUCUAGCGGGUUUAUGGGGAAGGGAGAUGUAUACAGUCUUUUGUCUCGAAUACGUUUCCGAGAACAUGUUAACAAAAAUAAUGAAAAAGUAAAAAUUG